This 101-nucleotide ribosomal RNA is filed under the name uncultured bacterium. RNAcentral's name for it is "partial 16S ribosomal RNA". It matches the Rfam family "Bacterial small subunit ribosomal RNA", at positions 392 to 508 of the family's 1533-position model. The record is from RNAcentral.
UGACGCCGCGUGCGGGACGGAGCCCUUCGGGGUGUAAACCGCUUUUCCCAGGGGCGAGAUAGGACGGUACCUGGGGAAUAAGCCUCGGCUAAACUACGUGC